Molecule: ribosomal RNA, 130 nt
Filed under: uncultured fungus
Lineage: Eukaryota; Fungi
Description: partial contains internal transcribed spacer 1 and 5.8S ribosomal RNA
Source: RNAcentral
GAUCAGCCCGCGCCCCGUAAAAAGGGACGGCCCGCCGCAGGAACCCUAAACUCUGUUUUUAGUGGAACUUCUGAGUAUAAAAAACAAAUAAAUCAAAACUUUCAAAACGGAUCUGUUGGUUCUGGCAUCG